RNAcentral lists this ribosomal RNA (614 nucleotides) under uncultured prokaryote. RNAcentral's name for it is "partial 16S ribosomal RNA". It matches the Rfam family "Bacterial small subunit ribosomal RNA", at positions 28 to 659 of the family's 1533-position model. The record is from RNAcentral.
GAUGAACGCUGACAGAAUGCUUAACACAUGCAAGUCGAUUCGAUUUACUUUCGAGUAUUGAGGAUGGCGGACGGGUGAGUAACGCGUAAGGAACUUGCCUCUUGGUCUGGGACAACUGUUGGAAACGACAGCUAAUACCGGAUAUUAUGAGAUUCUCGCAUGGGAAACUUAUGAAAGCUAUAUGCGCCAAGAGAGAGCCUUGCGUUCCAUUAGCUAGUUGGUGGGGUAACGGCCCACCAAGGCGACGAUGGAUAGCCGGCCUGAGAGGGUGAACGGCCACAAGGGGACUGAGACACGGCCCUUACUCCUACGGGAGGCAGCAGUGGGGAAUAUUGNNNNNNGGGGGNNNNNGCNUGAUCCAGCAAUUCUGUGUGCACGAUGAAGGUCUUCGGAUUGUAAAGUGCUUUCAGUUGGGAAGAAGAAAGUGACGGUACCAACAGAAGAAGCGACGGCUAAAUACGUGCCAGCAGCCGCGGUAAUACGUAUGUCGCAAGCGUUAUCCGGAUUUAUUGGGCGUAAAGCGCGUCUAGGCGGAAAAAUAAGUCUGAUGUUAAAAUGCGGGGCUCAACUCCGUAUUGCGUUGGAAACUGNUUUUCUAGAGUACUGGAGAGGUG